RNAcentral lists this long non-coding RNA (202 nucleotides) under Panax ginseng (ginseng). RNAcentral describes it as "long non-coding RNA (PGIN_LNC015164)". The record is from RNAcentral. Lineage: Eukaryota; Viridiplantae; Streptophyta; Magnoliopsida; Apiales; Araliaceae.
AUUUUAACCCCUUUGAACCCUAAAUUUCAUAGCAUAUGAAUAUGAAAAUCUCACUUCUUUGUAUCUAUUACUCCAUUUCACUUUGUACCUACUAAAAUCAUUCUAAUCUAACCUUUUUAAGAUGACUAAAGUUGAGAUCCAACUAGGAGAUGUCAUCACCCUUUUACUUUGUUGCAGAACUACAGUAGAGAUGAUAUUCUAG